UUCUUGUCUCUAAAAGUAUAUCUAUUGGGACGAGUUAUAUUUCGGUCCUUAUUGAUAUAUUUUAUAGGGAAGGUAUUAAAUUCGGUCCCUAAAAAACAUACUAACUAGUCCCAAAAUGUAAUUAGAGGCAUUGAGGCUUGAGCGGGAGAUUUUUCCUCCAGAUGAAAUUUUUUUUUCUACAAAAAAUGUAGUGCACGGAAAAAAUAGUACAGAAAGGAAAAGGAACAAGACUUAAUCGCUUAUAAUCUCUUCAGCUCACCACACAAAAAAAAAACCUCUCCACUGAUAUUCUUCAACUCAUAAUUGAAACUCAAUGUGCUCUACCUAAUCUCAACCAUUCUCUGCCCUAAUCUGAACAAUGCUCUACCCAUAGAUCGAUAGAGGUGUCUUCUUUGAUGUGUUGUUAAUGUAUGCCCUAAUCUCAACAUCAGUCUUCGAUUAAAUCGACAAAGGUUUCUUCUUCUUCAUCGAUUUGUUGUUGCUCUGCUCAUAACAAAUUCCAUCGCAGCAGGUUUCUUCUUCUUCAUCAAUUUGUUGCUGCUGUGCUCGAAACAGAUUCCAUCACAGCUUUUUUGAGACAAAAUUUCAGCUUUGUUGAUGUUUUGGACAUUACUUGAAGUAAAUCAGAUUGCUUUUGAGAUUUUGAAGAAUAAAGUUUUACAAGUGAAGAUGCAAGUUUAGACGAUGAACAAGAACUUGAUAUAUCAUAGUCUAGCUCAGGAUAUAUUUCCUAAGUUUUUUUUAAGGUGUUGAGCAAAUAUUGAAACUAACAUCAAUUAUGGGAUGUUAACCAUUUUAUUGUAAUUAAUAACACUCUCUUCAUAUAUAUUAUCAUUUUAUAUCAAGAUUUUC
Molecule: long non-coding RNA, 852 nt
Organism: Solanum tuberosum (potato)
Lineage: Eukaryota; Viridiplantae; Streptophyta; Magnoliopsida; Solanales; Solanaceae
Exons: 3
Source: RefSeq, a predicted model, not a curated record